This is a long non-coding RNA of Piliocolobus tephrosceles (Ugandan red Colobus), 1152 nucleotides long. The record is from Ensembl. NCBI's taxonomy places the organism in Eukaryota, Metazoa, Chordata, Mammalia, Primates, Cercopithecidae.
AUGAACGAAAAUGAAGAAAAAAAUAAAAAUGAGGCACUGAAAAAUAUAAGCGGUACUAUAGAACAAAGUGAAAAGGGGGAAGUAAAACAAAAUAAUAACACCCCCAAUAAUAAUAAUAACGAUACUGGUAGUGAAAAACAGGUAAACCAAUUAAAUCAAACAGGUGGAACUGAACAAGGAAGAUCAAGCGUUAUAACAAAUGUAAGCACAAACACAAGUAUUACAAACAUUAAUACAAACACAACCAACAUGAACAAUAAUGUAACAAUUACAGAAGUAACAUACCCACCAAGCCAUAUAAUGAUAAAUUCAAAAAAAUACCAACAUAUUAAACACAAUGAUAACUUAUCCAUAAGUUUGACUGCACCAAGUCAAACAAACGAAAACAAACAAAAUAAAGAAAAGGAAAAGGAAAAAGAUAAAGAUAAAGAAUACAAUAUAUAUAAUAAUCCUAUAAAUAAUACCCCUAUAAAAAAAAACCCUAUAAAUAAAACCCAUAUAAAUAAUACCCCUAUAAAUAUUAAAAAAACAAAUAAUGUUGAUGCGAAGAUAAACACAAAUAAUCCCAAUACAUUGGAUGUAAACAUAAAUAAUAAUAUAAAUAAUAUGUAUCAUAAUAUGAGUAAAGAAAAAUUAAUACAUAUUUUAUUAAGCAUGAAUAAGAAGCGUAGAAAAUAUGUUAGGAGAACAGACAAUAAUAAUAAAGAAAACAUUUCUAAUGAUGCUAAAAGAGCAAAAACAAAUGAUAAGGAUAGUAUAUUAAAAAUCACAAAAUUAAAUGAUAAUGGUGAAGGAAUGAGUUGUUUAAUAAAAGAAACAACUAAUGUAAUAAAUGUACCUUGUGCAGACAUAAGUGUAAAUAAUUCAUGUAAAAAUUUAUCUAAUGUAGUAAACAUAACCGAUAACAGUACAAUAGAAAAAAUCAAUUCAAUAACAGGAACUACUAUGACAGAGCAAGUGGUAAUUGACCAAGGUAUUAAAAAUGUAAAAACAAUAACAAACGAAAUAAAAUUAAUUAAAAAUAAUUUAAACAAAGAAAAUAAUAAUAUAAUUUUAAAUAAAAAUGUUCAAGAAUGUAAUAAUAAGAAUUGUAACAUAGAAAGCUGUGCUAUUAACAUGAACACUCAUUUGAAAAAAAGUUCAUAUAAGUAA